RNAcentral lists this small nuclear RNA (22 nucleotides) under Arabidopsis thaliana (thale cress). RNAcentral's name for it is "snRNA_12018". Lineage: Eukaryota; Viridiplantae; Streptophyta; Magnoliopsida; Brassicales; Brassicaceae. The record is from RNAcentral.
CGGGAUGAACCGGAAGCCGGGU